Molecule: ribosomal RNA, 470 nt
Filed under: uncultured Anaerolineaceae bacterium
Lineage: Bacteria; Bacillati; Chloroflexota; Anaerolineae; Anaerolineales; Anaerolineaceae
Description: bacterial SSU rRNA
Rfam family: Bacterial small subunit ribosomal RNA
Source: RNAcentral
AAACUUAAAGGAAUUGACGGGACCCGCACAAGCAGCGGAGCGUGUGGUUUAAUUCGUUGCUUACACGAAGAACCUUACCUGGGUUUGACAUAUAGGUUGUAGGGAACUGAAAGGGACCGACCCUUCGGGGAGCCUAUACAGGUGUUGCAUGGCUGUCGUCAGCUCGUGUCGUGAGAUGUUCGGUUAAGUCCGCUAACGAGCGCAACCCUCGUCGUAUGUUAUAUGUGUCAUACGAGACUGCCGGUAAAAGCCGGAGGAAGGUGAGGAUGAUGUCAAGUCAGCAUGACCUUUAUAUCCAGGGCUACACACACGCUACAAUGGUCUGUACAAUGGGUAGCCAAGCCGCGAGGCGGAGCCAAUCCUGAAAGCAGGCCUCAGUUCAGAUUGCAGUCUGCAACUCGACUGCAUGAAGCCGGAGUUGCUAGUAACCGCAGGUCAGCAAUACUGCGGUGAAUACGUUCCCGGGUCUU